This 462-nucleotide ribosomal RNA is filed under the name uncultured bacterium. Its description in RNAcentral is "bacterial SSU rRNA". It matches the Rfam family "Bacterial small subunit ribosomal RNA", at positions 30 to 514 of the family's 1533-position model. The record is from RNAcentral.
AUUGAACGCUGGCGGCAUGCCUUACACAUGCAAGUCGAACGGCAGCACGGGAGCAAUCCUGGUGGCGAGUGGCGAACGGGUGAGUAAUAUAUCGGAACGUGCCCAGUCGUGGGGAUAACGUAGCGAAAGCUACGCUAAUACCGCAUACGAUCUAUGGAUGAAAGCGGGGGAUCGCAAGACCUCGCGCGAUUGGAGCGGCCGAUAUCAGAUUAGGUAGUUGGUGAGGUAAAGGCUCACCAAGCCGACGAUCUGUAGCUGGUCUGAGAGGACGACCAGCCACACUGGGACUGAGACACGGCCCAGACUCCUACGGGAGGCAGCAGUGGGGAAUCUUAGACAAUGGCGCAAGCCUGAUCUAGCCAUGCCGCGUGAGCGAUGAAGGCCUUAGGGUGUAAAGCUCUUUCAGAUGGGAAGAUAAUGACGGUACCAUCAGAAGAAGCCCGGCUAACUCCGUGCCAGCAC